UCCGUAGGUGAACCUGCGGAGGGAUCAUUACAAGUGACCCCCG
RNAcentral lists this ribosomal RNA (43 nucleotides) under fungal sp. CTH-2008. RNAcentral describes it as "partial 18S ribosomal RNA". Lineage: Eukaryota; Fungi. The record is from RNAcentral.